AGUCGUACCCUGGUCUCCGUUGGUGAACCAGCGGAGGGAUCAUUACCGAGUUUACAACUCCCAAACCCCUGUGAACAUACCACUUGUUGCCUCGGCGGAUCAGCCCGCUCCCGGUAAAACGGGACGGCCCGCCAGAGGACCCCUAAACUCUGUUUCUAUAUGUAACUUCUGAGUAAAACCAUAAAUAAAUCAAAACUUUCAACAACGGAUCUCUUGGUUCUGGCAUCGAUGAAGAACGCAGCAAAAUGCGAUAAGUAAUGUGAAUUGCAGAAUUCAGUGAAUCAUCGAAUCUUUGAACGCACAUUGCGCCCGCCAGUAUUCUGGCGGGCAUGCCUGUUCGAGCGUCAUUUCAACCCUCAAGCACAGCUUGGUGUUGGGACUCGCGUUAAUUCGCGUUCCCCAAAUUGAUUGGCGGUCACGUCGAGCUUCCAUAGCGUAGUAGUAAAACCCUCGUUACUGGUAAUCGUCGCGGCCACGCCGUUAAACCCCAACUUCUGAAUGUUGACCUCGGAUCAGGUAGGAAUACCCGCUGAACUUAAGCAUAUCAAUAAGUCG
Molecule: ribosomal RNA, 555 nt
Filed under: uncultured fungus
Lineage: Eukaryota; Fungi
Description: eukaryotic LSU rRNA
Rfam family: 5.8S ribosomal RNA (bases 194-347)
Source: RNAcentral